GGAAGCGUGGCAGAGUGGCCGAUUGCACCGGUCUUGAAAACCGGCAACGGGCAACCGUUCGUGAGUUCGAAUCUCACCGCUUCCG
The sequence is a transfer RNA, 85 nucleotides long. It matches the Rfam family "tRNA". From Rfam's summary of the family: Transfer RNA (tRNA) molecules are approximately 80 nucleotides in length.